RNAcentral lists this ribosomal RNA (439 nucleotides) under uncultured bacterium. RNAcentral describes it as "partial 16S ribosomal RNA". It matches the Rfam family "Bacterial small subunit ribosomal RNA", at positions 339 to 795 of the family's 1533-position model. The record is from RNAcentral.
CUACGGGGGGCAGCAGUGAGGAAUAUUGCACAAUGGGGGGAACCCUGAUGCAGCAACGCCGCAUGGAGGAUGACGCAUUUCGGUGUGUAAACUCCUUUUAUAUGUCAAGAAAAUGACGGUAGCAUAUGAAUAAGCACCGGCUAACUCCGUGCCAGCAGCCGCGGUAAUACGGAGGGUGCAAGCGUUACUCGGAAUCACUGGGCGUAAAGGACGCGUAGGCGGGUUGGAAAGUCAGGUGUGAAAUCCUACAGCUUAACUGUAGAACUACACUUGAAACUUCUAAUCUAGAGUAUGGGAGGGGGAGAUGGAAUUAGUGGUGUAGGGGUAAAAUCCGUAGAUAUCACUAGGAAUACCUAAAGCGAAGGCGAUCUCCUGGAACAUUACUGACGCUAAGGCGUGAAAGCGUGGGGAGCAAACAGGAUUAGAUACCCCAGUAGUC